Molecule: ribosomal RNA, 874 nt
Filed under: Phycisphaerales bacterium
Lineage: Bacteria; Pseudomonadati; Planctomycetota; Phycisphaerae; Phycisphaerales
Description: bacterial SSU rRNA
Rfam family: Bacterial small subunit ribosomal RNA
Source: RNAcentral
AAUUGAAGAGUUUGAUCCUGGCUCAGAUUGAACGCUGGCGGCAUGGCUAAAGCAUGCAAGUCGAACGCUCUCUUCGGAGAGAGUGGCGAAAGGGCGAGUAACGCGAUCGUACGUACCCCGAGGUGGGGGAUAGCGUCGGGAAACUGACGGUAAUACCCCAUGUGCUCUUCGGAGGAAAGUUUCGGCGCCUUGGGCGCGGCGAUCGUCCUAUCAGGUUGUUGGUGAGGUAACGGCUCACCAAGCCGAAGACGGGUAGCGGGUGUGAGAGCAUGACCCGCCGCAUCGGGACUGAGACACUGCCCGGACUCCUACGGGAGGCUGCAGCGACGAAUCUUCCGCAAUGGGCGAAAGCCUGACGGAGCAAUGCCGCGUGUGGGAUGAAGCAGCUUCGCUGUGUAAACCACUGUCAGGUCCUAGGAACACUGACCGGGACCAAAGGAAGGGCCGGCUAAACUCGUGCCAGCAGCCGCGGUAAUACGAGUGGCCCGAGCGUUAAUCGGAAUCACUGGGCUUAAAGGGUGCGCAGGCGGACCUUCAGGCGUCUUGUGAAAUCCCACGGCUCAACCGUGGAAUUGCAGGGCGAACCGGAGGUCUUGAGGCAGGUAGGGGCCGACGGAACUAUCGGUGGAACGGUGAAAUGUGCAGAUAUCGAUAGGAACGCCAAUGGCGAAGGCAGUCGGCUGGGCCUGUCCUGACGCUCAGGCACGAAAGCGUGGGGAGCAAACAGGAUUAGAUACCCUGGUAGUCCACGCCGUAAACGAUGUGCACUAGAUCGGGGAGGCUCUCACGCCCUCUCGGUCGAAGGAAAACCAUUAAGUGCACCGCCUGGGGAGUACGGUCGCAAGGCUAAAACUCAAAGGAAUUGACGGGGGCU